GAGAAUUAUAUUCUUUGAAGGGGUUUUAACCGGCUCCUUCAUUGAGUGAAUUGUGAACUGGUCGCGUUAUAUCCUGGGUCACUUGCACUUUUGGCUGUGAGUAACAGUGCUAUAUCCGGCGUUUUUUUUGAUGUUUGUAUUGUUUUUUUUGUUGUUUUCAAUAAGA
Molecule: unclassified non-coding RNA, 166 nt
Filed under: uncultured fungus
Lineage: Eukaryota; Fungi
Description: sequence contains ITS1
Source: RNAcentral